This 253-nucleotide ribosomal RNA is filed under the name uncultured bacterium. Its description in RNAcentral is "partial 16S ribosomal RNA". It matches the Rfam family "Bacterial small subunit ribosomal RNA", at positions 524 to 776 of the family's 1533-position model. The record is from RNAcentral.
UACGUAGGGUGCGAGCGUUGUCCGGAAUUAUUGGGCGUAAAGAGCUCGUAGGCGGUUUGUCGCGUCGGCCGUGAAAUCUCCACGCUUAACGUGGAGCGUGCGGUCGAUACGGGCAGACUUGAGUUCGGUAGGGGAGACUGGAAUUCCUGGUGUAGCGGUGAAAUGCGCAGAUAUCAGGAGGAACACCGGUGGCGAAGGCGGGUCUCUGGGCCGAAACUGACGCUGAGGAGCGAAAGCGUGGGGAGCAAACAGG